Molecule: long non-coding RNA, 4230 nt
Filed under: Nicotiana tabacum (common tobacco)
Lineage: Eukaryota; Viridiplantae; Streptophyta; Magnoliopsida; Solanales; Solanaceae
Description: long non-coding RNA (NTAB_LNC009308)
Source: RNAcentral
CGCAAAAUGUUAUUUUUAUCAAUAAAUAUCAAAUUGUUAUUGAAAAAUCUAGAUACAAAAAGAUAAUAUAUCAAGUUCGCAUCCCAUGAUGAUGUUACUUUCUAUAUUUCCUCAACAUCUUAAUAAAAAAAGUUAGCAAACAUCCGGAGCUAGACUAUGUCUUAUAAAAAUAAUAAUAAGUUUGUGCAUCUUUUAAACUUGAAUCUUGAUUUGUAGCUUCAAUCUUCAAAACCUGUAAGUACAAAAGUUUGAAAAGAUGAUAAAUACUAUUGGUAAAAUAACAUAUAUAAAUUUUAAACUAGCAAUAUAGGGAAAUAUAAGAAAAAUUAAUUAGAAAAGCUUUGGGAUGGUAAAUCAAAAUUUGUUUCGAUAAAUCCUGAUACGACAAUUCGAGAUUUACCAUUCAAGAGAACAACUACUAUGAACAGACAAUAACAUCACGAACUUGGUAUUUUUAAUCAUAAGAGAACCAUAUCAUCCGCUUCUAUUGAGCACAGCCAUUACCAUUUAUGUACGGAACAAACAUGACAUACAACGAAUAAGUUUAUAGAUAACAACAAAGAUAAGCCUUUACCGCAACUUAUAGAUUUUCAAACUUCACCGAUAAUCCCCCAAAGUUUACAAACAUGCAUGUUGUCCCUCAUAUAAUGUGCUUACAAAUUCAGUAUAUUUUAUGCAGUAGUAACAUCUAUUGAAUAAGUAGAAUCCUUCUAAUAAAAUAUUCAAUUCCAGUUCCUUUUUCAAUCCUUUGUAAUGGUAAAAUCUUUGUCAUAGACAAGAUGUAUAGGUUUAAGAAUUGGAAUCUCAUUUCUAGCCAUUCAUCCUGCCACAACCUUAUUCUUCUGCCAUUUUCCAGCUAUAAUCUCAUCAAAUUCCUACCACACAUGCCUGAUUUGCUAGCAGAUCGAAAUUCCAUAGGAAGUUAUAGCUACUUACUGCACCAUUGUACAUGCAUUCCAUAUUUAGCUUCAAUCAAAUGCUUCCAUAGAUUCCAGUUGUCAGUGGAAUAAUAUAUGCUUUGUCAAAUUAAUAUUUUAAGUCUCAACUAUAUGCUUCCCGCAUGUUGGAGGGAAUGAAACACUGUAGCAAACCAGCUUGCUAAUUGUAGUUAAGUUUCACGGGGAAAAAAAAAUUCAUUCUUCCCUUCUCAUGUACCACUGAUGAAUUGCAGAAUUUUUGUUGUUGUUGGUUUUUAUUUGUUAUUAUGACUGUUUAAUUAGUGACUUUAAAUGGUUCACCAUUUAGAAGGGUGAAGUCAAAAUACCACUAGAAUAUGUAAUAUAGAAAUUUUGACUAUACUCAAAUCAACUAUAAAACUUAAAAAGCUAGGUAUAUUGUUACCCAAAUCAACUAGUGCAGAUGAUUUAAAUUAAUUACCUUAUUGAUGAAAGAUGACCUAUGUUGUCUUGAGUUCAUUUUCCACCCUUCUUCUACCUUCAGGGUCUUUUGAGGAAGAGAGUAACUUGAAAAAGAUAAAUUAUCUACAAGAUUCUAUCAAGCUAUGAUAUUUAGCUAGAUAUUCUAAUUGCAAACCAGGAGGGAAUCAAAAUCUAAUGGAUUAACGUCAAACUAUCCUGUGCUCUAAGGAAGAAAAGUUUGAAUUGGAACUGAGGCAAAUACGGGCAUCACUAGAUGAGGAACUAAAAGGUAAGGUGCUUGAACUGGAAAUAAAGGAAGCUGAAUUACAUGCUCUUCUACCAUUAUUUGAACCUACUCAUUUCCCUUACAAAGGGAAAUGCCCUUCCAAAACAGGCAUGGGGACUAACAAAUACUAUAAUAUAAAUACAUUAUGGCCACACAGUUAUCCAAACACUAUUCUUCCACCAACAAAAAAGAUUGAAUUUCAAAUGUGACUUCACCCAACUUCGAGAUCCCUAGGGGGAUCAACCUUAUGAAGGAUGCGCAACAAGAAUUCAAAAAUACAUUCCAUUCAAUGAAAAUUCAAAUCUUAUGCUGAAAAUUCCCCAAAGUACUCAAUGAGAAAAAAGUUAUAUGUAAAUCUUAGCAUAAUAUAACCUUAAUUAUUUGUAAACAAUUAAUGCUAUAAACUCUACUGAAUGUGAUAGCCUCUUUUCACUUAAAACACUUAGUUAAAUGCUAGAAACUCUGUUCGCUCCAUUCAUCUCAUGAGAUUAUGUAUGCACUUCUUACACAAACAAUGCUGUGACUGAAUCUGAUGGAGGCCACAUUUCAACUUGUAGUUACUGCUGGGUGUAAUAGAGAGACUUGAAAGGGAAUAUACUAACAAUCAAAAUUCAUUUGGCACAAAAAGGUUCAUAUUCAAUGUCAAAAGGGGUAAAAAUGCAGUCUGUUUGUAAAUAAAUUGGGCAUCCAGUUCUCUAAUGAGAAGGAGAUAUUAUCGCACGACCUUCAAGCAGUCGAGCUAAAUUAAUUACCAAUUAAAACAACUAACAAUUACCAAUCAGAGAUUCAUUUCACUUGUUGUGAUUCCUACAUAAAGGUACAAACAGGAACACAUGUAUUCGACUAAAUGAUAUGCAUCUUUACUAUAUAAAUAUCUAGCUGCUUCGACUUAAUAGUUGCCUACAUGUGAUUCAACUUUUCUUCCUUAAUAUCAUUCCACGAUGAUACUCCCAACGGACACAUCUUACGGUCACGAACGAUUCUUCCUAAGUGCCUCGAAAAUAAUUUGCUAUUUGUUCCAACUGUUCGAUUAUUGUAAAAGGUUACUUUCAACUUUUGUCCGACUUCAAGUGAUGAAACUUCUUUGCACUUGUUCCUCCCUCGAACUUUUUUUACCUUUCCAGGAUUAGAUAAAGAACCUACGGCUGCAUAAUUUGGUAAAAACUAUAGCAAUAAAAUUUAGUUCUACAAAUUAAUAACAUAUGGAUUCAAAAUAUCAUACCUUUUUCAGUUGUUUGGGAGUGUUGCAUAACUUGAUCAGUAGAUGGGGGAAAUGAAAUAUUGGUUUGCAUAUGCUCUUUCUCAAGAACCAAGGAUUUUUUUAUCUAUUGUUCGCAUCUCUUGAUUAGAAGACAUGGUAAAAUUCGAUCUUGUGCUUUUAGAAAUCCCUAAAGAUGAGCACAAAGAUCCAGGCGUUUGCUCUCAUCCCUUCCCUAUAGAAGCAUAAUCCAAAAACUUUUGUACUCCGAUUAAGUAGGCUUCAUCGAGCCAAUUAUUAACAAGUUGCAUCCAUUGCUUAUUAGGUGCCAUAACCUUGGAGAAUAAAUAAAAAUUACAUUAAAAAAAGAUAAAAGAUAAGAAAAAUACUAUGAUGUACACAACUUGUUACGAUCAGAUGCACACAACUGGUUCACCUCCAAGGUUGCAGUUUCUAGUGAACUGGCUCCUCUAUUUUCGGUUAAUACAUUGUAAUAUACAAUCAGAUGACACUAAUCUAGAUAAAAGAUUAUAAAUUAACUUGUAAUUAAAGAUGUUAGUUCCUAAAACAUUCAUGCAUAGUUCCUUCUAGUCUGUUCCGAGAUCGAAGUAAGUACUUACACCAAAGAAAGUGUAAAUAGUAUACUUUACAACACAAGAUCAUUCAAAAUAGUCGCGCGCGACUAAAAGACUGCUUCUUCCCAGAUUCAAUUAUUUUUCAGUAUGUUAAAAUACAAUUGGCAGUAGAGACGAGAAGGGUUCUGAGGUAUAAAUGGAUUUAGUUAAAAUCUUUUCAGAUGUAAAAUUAAAAUUACAAUAGGAGUAAUACAGUAGUCCCUGUUUUGGCUGGCAAAAUCCCUCACUGAAUACAUAAGACUAAUAUGUCAUUCAUGAAAUAAUUAGCUUUUUCAAACUGGUAGGCACUCCAUAUAACAUAAAAUUCUUCAAACUUCAAACACACAAUACGCUACAUAAACUUGAAUAUACUACAGAAAAUUAAUUUAUCCAAUUAGAAAUCCAACCCAAUAAUCUUUCCACCGAUUAUACAAUAGAAAAAAUACCAAAUUAUAUAUGAAAUCUUACCAAGAGAAGAAGAAGAACAACAACAACUCGAAUAACAAUUAGCGAAUUUAGAACAACUUAGAGAAGAAAAAAAAACAACUUGAAAGAGGAGGCAUACCUUGGAUUAAUAUCAAAUGCGAGAUGGAAAUUAGGGCAAAAAAUUUGCAAUCUUAGUUUUGAGAAACACAUAAGAACAAAUGGGCGCUAGGCGGAGUAUUAGGGCAAAUUGUGUUUUGAGAAUACAGAGAGUUUCACUUUACUUUUCAGAACUUUUUAUUUCAAUGUAUUAGUUUUGGCGCCUGAUUUUUGGAAAAUAGUAGAUUUCUA